GUGAGGAAUAUUGCGCAAUGGAGGCAACUCUGACGCAGCCAUGCCGCGUGCAGGAAGACGGCCCUACGGGUUGUAAACUGCUUUUAUCCGGGAAGAAACCCCUCGACGUGUCGAGGGUUGACGGUACCGGAGGAAUAAGCACCGGCUAACUUCGUGCCAGCAGCCGCGGUAAUACGAAGGGUGCAAGCGUUAUCCGGAUUCAUUGGGUUUAAAGGGUGCGUAGGCGGGGCGUUAAGUCAGUGGUGAAAUCCUGCAGCUUAACUGUAGAAUUGCCAUUGAUACUGGCGCUCUUGAGUACGCUUGGCGUGGGCGGAAUGUGCCGUGUAGCGGUGAAAUGCUUAGAUAUGGCACAGAACACCGAUCGCGAAGGCAGCUCACGAAGGCGAAACUGACGCUGAGGCACGAAAGCGUGGGGAUCGAACAGGAUUAGAAACCCUAGUAGUCC
RNAcentral lists this ribosomal RNA (445 nucleotides) under uncultured bacterium. RNAcentral describes it as "bacterial SSU rRNA". It matches the Rfam family "Bacterial small subunit ribosomal RNA", at positions 354 to 796 of the family's 1533-position model. The record is from RNAcentral.